Molecule: ribosomal RNA, 490 nt
Filed under: uncultured organism
Description: bacterial SSU rRNA
Rfam family: Bacterial small subunit ribosomal RNA
Source: RNAcentral
GAUGAACGCUAGCUACAGGCUUAACACAUGCAAGUCGAGGGGCAGCAUGAUUGAAGCUUGCUUCAAUUGAUGGCGACCGGCGCACGGGUGAGUAACACGUAUCCAACCUUCCGUACACUCAGGGAUAGCCUUUCGAAAGAAAGAUUAAUACCUGAUGGUAUCUUAAGCACACAUGUAAUUAAGAUUAAAGAUUUAUCGGUGUACGAUGGGGAUGCGUUCCAUUAGGUAGUAGGCGGGGUAACGGCCCACCUAGCCUACGAUGGAUAGGGGUUCUGAGAGGAAGGUCCCCCACAUUGGAACUGAGACACGGUCCAAACUCCUACGGGAGGCAGCAGUGAGGAAUAUUGGUCAAUGGACGAGAGUCUGAACCAGCCAAGUAGCGUGAAGGAUGAAGGUCCUACGGAUUGUAAACUUCUUUUAUAAGGGAAUAAAACCUCCCACGUGUGGGAGCUUGUAUGUACCUUAUGAAUAAGCAUCGGCUAACUCCGUG